Molecule: ribosomal RNA, 2904 nt
Filed under: Escherichia coli KTE203
Lineage: Bacteria; Pseudomonadati; Pseudomonadota; Gammaproteobacteria; Enterobacterales; Enterobacteriaceae
Description: bacterial LSU rRNA
Rfam family: Bacterial large subunit ribosomal RNA
Source: RNAcentral
UUAAGCGACUAAGCGUACACGGUGGAUGCCCUGGCAGUCAGAGGCGAUGAAGGACGUGCUAAUCUGCGAUAAGCGUCGGUAAGGUGAUAUGAACCGUUAUAACCGGCGAUUUCCGAAUGGGGAAACCCAGUGUGAUUCGUCACACUAUCAUUAACUGAAUCCAUAGGUUAAUGAGGCGAACCGGGGGAACUGAAACAUCUAAGUACCCCGAGGAAAAGAAAUCAACCGAGAUUCCCCCAGUAGCGGCGAGCGAACGGGGAGCAGCCCAGAGCCUGAAUCAGUGUGUGUGUUAGUGGAAGCGUCUGGAAAGGCGCGCGAUACAGGGUGACAGCCCCGUACACAAAAAUGCACAUGCUGUGAGCUCGAUGAGUAGGGCGGGACACGUGGUAUCCUGUCUGAAUAUGGGGGGACCAUCCUCCAAGGCUAAAUACUCCUGACUGACCGAUAGUGAACCAGUACCGUGAGGGAAAGGCGAAAAGAACCCCGGCGAGGGGAGUGAAAAAGAACCUGAAACCGUGUACGUACAAGCAGUGGGAGCACAGAGCAAUCUGUGUGACUGCGUACCUUUUGUAUAAUGGGUCAGCGACUUAUAUUCUGUAGCAAGGUUAACCGAAUAGGGGAGCCGAAGGGAAACCGAGUCUUAACUGGGCGUUAAGUUGCAGGGUAUAGACCCGAAACCCGGUGAUCUAGCCAUGGGCAGGUUGAAGGUUGGGUAACACUAACUGGAGGACCGAACCGACUAAUGUUGAAAAAUUAGCGGAUGACUUGUGGCUGGGGGUGAAAGGCCAAUCAAACCGGGAGAUAGCUGGUUCUCCCCGAAAGCUAUUUAGGUAGCGCCUCGUGAAUUCAUCUCCGGGGGUAGAGCACUGUUUCGGCAAGGGGGUCAUCCCGACUUACCAACCCGAUGCAAACUGCGAAUACCGGAGAAUGUUAUCACGGGAGACACACGGCGGGUGCUAACGUCCGUCGUGAAGAGGGAAACAACCCAGACCGCCAGCUAAGGUCCCAAAGUCAUGGUUAAGUGGGAAACGAUGUGGGAAGGCCCAGACAGCCAGGAUGUUGGCUUAGAAGCAGCCAUCAUUUAAAGAAAGCGUAAUAGCUCACUGGUCGAGUCGGCCUGCGCGGAAGAUGUAACGGGGCUAAACCAUGCACCGAAGCUGCGGCAGCGACGCUUAUGCGUUGUUGGGUAGGGGAGCGUUCUGUAAGCCUGCGAAGGUGUGCUGUGAGGCAUGCUGGAGGUAUCAGAAGUGCGAAUGCUGACAUAAGUAACGAUAAAGCGGGUGAAAAGCCCGCUCGCCGGAAGACCAAGGGUUCCUGUCCAACGUUAAUCGGGGCAGGGUGAGUCGACCCCUAAGGCGAGGCCGAAAGGCGUAGUCGAUGGGAAACAGGUUAAUAUUCCUGUACUUGGUGUUACUGCGAAGGGGGGACGGAGAAGGCUAUGUUGGCCGGGCGACGGUUGUCCCGGUUUAAGCGUGUAGGCUGGUUUUCCAGGCAAAUCCGGAAAACUAAGGCUGAGGCGUGAUGACGAGGCACUACGGUGCUGAAGCAACAAAUGCCCUGCUUCCAGGAAAAGCCUCUAAGCAUCAGGUAACAUCAAAUCGUACCCCAAACCGACACAGGUGGUCAGGUAGAGAAUACCAAGGCGCUUGAGAGAACUCGGGUGAAGGAACUAGGCAAAAUGGUGCCGUAACUUCGGGAGAAGGCACGCUGAUAUGUAGGUGAAGUCCCUCGCGGAUGGAGCUGAAAUCAGUCGAAGAUACCAGCUGGCUGCAACUGUUUAUUAAAAACACAGCACUGUGCAAACACGAAAGUGGACGUAUACGGUGUGACGCCUGCCCGGUGCCGGAAGGUUAAUUGAUGGGGUCAGCGCAAGCGAAGCUCUUGAUCGAAGCCCCGGUAAACGGCGGCCGUAACUAUAACGGUCCUAAGGUAGCGAAAUUCCUUGUCGGGUAAGUUCCGACCUGCACGAAUGGCGUAAUGAUGGCCAGGCUGUCUCCACCCGAGACUCAGUGAAAUUGAACUCGCUGUGAAGAUGCAGUGUACCCGCGGCAAGACGGAAAGACCCCGUGAACCUUUACUAUAGCUUGACACUGAACAUUGAGCCUUGAUGUGUAGGAUAGGUGGGAGGCUUUGAAGUGUGGACGCCAGUCUGCAUGGAGCCGACCUUGAAAUACCACCCUUUAAUGUUUGAUGUUCUAACGUUGACCCGUGAUCCGGGUUGCGGACAGUGUCUGGUGGGUAGUUUGACUGGGGCGGUCUCCUCCUAAAGAGUAACGGAGGAGCACGAAGGUUGGCUAAUCCUGGUCGGACAUCAGGAGGUUAGUGCAAUGGCAUAAGCCAGCUUGACUGCGAGCGUGACGGCGCGAGCAGGUGCGAAAGCAGGUCAUAGUGAUCCGGUGGUUCUGAAUGGAAGGGCCAUCGCUCAACGGAUAAAAGGUACUCCGGGGAUAACAGGCUGAUACCGCCCAAGAGUUCAUAUCGACGGCGGUGUUUGGCACCUCGAUGUCGGCUCAUCACAUCCUGGGGCUGAAGUAGGUCCCAAGGGUAUGGCUGUUCGCCAUUUAAAGUGGUACGCGAGCUGGGUUUAGAACGUCGUGAGACAGUUCGGUCCCUAUCUGCCGUGGGCGCUGGAGAACUGAGGGGGGCUGCUCCUAGUACGAGAGGACCGGAGUGGACGCAUCACUGGUGUUCGGGUUGUCAUGCCAAUGGCACUGCCCGGUAGCUAAAUGCGGAAGAGAUAAGUGCUGAAAGCAUCUAAGCACGAAACUUGCCCCGAGAUGAGUUCUCCCUGACUCCUUGAGAGUCCUGAAGGAACGUUGAAGACGACGACGUUGAUAGGCCGGGUGUGUAAGCGCAGCGAUGCGUUGAGCUAACCGGUACUAAUGAACCGUGAGGCUUAACCUU